Molecule: transfer RNA, 71 nt
Filed under: Epinephelus hexagonatus (starspotted grouper)
Lineage: Eukaryota; Metazoa; Chordata; Actinopteri; Perciformes; Serranidae
Description: tRNA-Ser
Source: RNAcentral
GAGGAAGGUUCGCAUAACAGAUGAACCCUGCUAAGUUUCAUUAUCUCGGUUGAACUCCGGGGCUAUCCUCG